This 253-nucleotide ribosomal RNA is filed under the name uncultured bacterium. RNAcentral describes it as "partial 16S ribosomal RNA". It matches the Rfam family "Bacterial small subunit ribosomal RNA", at positions 524 to 776 of the family's 1533-position model. The record is from RNAcentral.
UACAGAGGUCUCAACCGUUGUUCGGAUUUAUUGGGCGUAAAGGGUGCGUAGGUGGUCGUGUAAGUCGGGUGUGAAAUCCUAGGGCUCAACCCUGGAACUGCACUCGAUACUGCACGGCUUGAGCGCUGGAAAGGAGACUGGAAUUUACGGUGUAGCAGUGAAAUGCGUAGAUAUCGUAAGGAAGACCAGUGGCGAAAGCGAGUCUCUGGACAGAUGCUGACACUGAGGCACGAAGGCCAGGGGAGCAAACGGG